AGAGUUUGAUCCUGGCUCAGAUUGAACGCUGGCGGCAUGCCUAACACAUGCAAGUCGAACGCGAAAGCGCCUUCGGGCGUGAGUAGAGUGGCGGACGGGUGAGUAACGCGUGGGAAUCUACCCUGCAGUGGGGGACAACCCGGGGAAACCCGGGUUAAUAUUGUAUAUGUUUUAUGGGAGAAAGGGGGUUUUGGCUCUCGCUGCAGGAUGAGCCCGCGUCCGAUUAGCUUGUUGGUGGGGUAAUGGCCCACCAAGGCGACGAUCGGUAGCUGGUUUGAGAGGAUGAUCAGCCACACUGGGAUUGAGAUAUGGCCCAGACUCUUAUGGGAGGCAGCAGUGGGGAAUAUUGGAUAAUGGGCGAAAGCCUGAUCCAGCAAUGCCGCGUGUGUGAAGAAGGCCUGUGGGUUGUAAAGCACUUUCAGUGGGGAAGAAAUGUUUGAGGUUAAUAUUUUUGGAUUUUGAUGUUACCCACAGAAGAAGCACCGGUUAACUCCGUGCCAGUAGUUGUGGUAAUACGGAGGGUGCAAGCGUUAAUCGGAAUUACUGGGCGUAAAGAGCACGUAGGCGGCUGAGUAAGUUAGAUGUGAAAGUUUUGGGUUUAAUUUGGGAACUGCAUUUGAUAUUGCUCAGCUUGAGUCUGGUAGAGGGGGGUGGAAUUUUAGGUGUAGUGGUGAAAUGUGUAGAUAUUUGGAGGAAUAUUAGUGGUGAAGGUGGCCCCCUGGACCAAGACUGACGCUGAGGUGCGUAAGCGUGGGGAGCAAAUAGGAUUAGAUAUUUUGGUAGUUUACGUUGUAAACGAUGUCGACUAGCCGUUGGGCUCAUUUAAGGGUUUAGUGGCGUAGUUAAUGUGAUAAGUCGACCGCCUGGGGAGUACGGCCGCAAGGUUAAAACUCAAAGGAAUUGACGGGGGCCCGUAUAAGCGGUGGAGCAUGUGGUUUAAUUCGAUGCAACGCGAAGAACCUUACCAGCCCUUGACAUCCUCGGAACUUGGCAGAGAUGCCUUGGUGCCUUCGGGAGCCGAGAGACAGGUGCUGCAUGGCUGUCGUCAGCUCGUGUCGUGAGAUGUUGGGUUAAGUUUCGUAACGAGCGCAACCCUUGUCCUUAGUUGCCAGCGGUUCGGCCGGGAACUCUAAGGAGACUGCCGGUGAUAAACCGGAGGAAGGUGGGGAUGACGUCAAGUCAUCAUGGCCCUUAUGGGCUGGGCUACACACGUGCUACAAUGGUCGGUACAGAGGGUUGCGAAGCAGCGAUGUGGAGCUAAUCCCAGAAAACCGAUCGUAGUCCGGAUUGCAGUCUGCAACUCGACUGCAUGAAGUCGGAAUCGCUAGUAAUCGCGAAUCAGAAUGUUGCGGUGAAUACGUUCCCGGGCCUUGUACACACCGCCCGUCACACCAUGGGAGUUGGUUGCGCCAGAAGUAGAUAGCUUAACCUUCGGGAGGGCGUUUACCACGGUGUGGUCAAUGACUGGGGUGAAGUCGUAACAAGGUA
This 1488-nucleotide ribosomal RNA is filed under the name metagenome. RNAcentral's name for it is "bacterial SSU rRNA". It matches the Rfam family "Bacterial small subunit ribosomal RNA". The record is from RNAcentral.